This 271-nucleotide ribosomal RNA is filed under the name uncultured bacterium. RNAcentral's name for it is "partial 16S ribosomal RNA". It matches the Rfam family "Bacterial small subunit ribosomal RNA", at positions 333 to 596 of the family's 1533-position model. The record is from RNAcentral.
UGGGCCCUACGGGGCGCAGCAGUAGGGAAUCUUCCACAAUGGGCGAAAGCCUGAUGGAGCAACGCCGCGUGGGUGAAGAAGGUCUUCGGAUCGUAAAACCCUGUUGUUAGAGAAGAAAGUGCGUGAGAGUAACUGUUCACGUUUCGACGGUAUCUAACCAGAAAGCCACCGCUAACUACGUGCCAGCAGCCGCGGUAAUACGUAGGUGGCAAGCGUUCUCCGGAUUUAUUGGGCGUAAAGGGAACGCAGGCGGUCGUUUAAGUCUGCUGUG